RNAcentral lists this ribosomal RNA (409 nucleotides) under Acidobacteriota bacterium. Its description in RNAcentral is "Acidobacteria bacterium partial 16S ribosomal RNA". It matches the Rfam family "Bacterial small subunit ribosomal RNA", at positions 355 to 776 of the family's 1533-position model. The record is from RNAcentral. Lineage: Bacteria; Pseudomonadati; Acidobacteriota.
UGGGGAAUAUUGCACAAUGGGCGAAAGCCUGAUGCAGCGACGCCGCGUGGGGGAUGACGGCCUUCGGGUUGUAAACCUCUUUCAGCAAGGAAGAAGCGAAAGUGACGGUACUUGCAGAAGAAGCGCCGGCUAACUACGUGCCAGCAGCCGCGGUAAUACGUAGGGAGCAAGCGUUGUCCGGAAUUAUUGGGCGUAAAGAGCUUGUAGGUGGCUUGUCGCGUCUGCCGUGAAAACCCGAGGCUUAACCUUGGGCGUGCGGUGGGUACGGGCAGGCUAGAGUGCGGUAGGGGAGACUGGAAUUCCUGGUGUAGCGGUGAAAUGCGCAGAUAUCAGGAGGAACACCGAUGGCGAAGGCAGGUCUCUGGGCCGUUACUGACACUGAGAAGCGAAAGCAUGGGGAGCGAACAGG